ACUCCUACGGGAGGCAGCAGUGGGGAAUCUUAGACAAUGGGCGCAAGCCUGAUCUAGCCAUGCCGCGUGAGUGAUGAAGGCCUUAGGGUUGUAAAGCUCUUUCAGAUGGGAAGAUAAUGACGGUACCAUCAGAAGAAGCCCCGGCUAACUCCGUGCCAGCAGCCGCGGUAAUACGGAGGGGGCUAGCGUUGUUCGGAAUUACUGGGCGUAAAGCGCGCGUAGGCGGACUGGAAAGUUGGGGGUGAAAUCCCGGGGCUCAACCUCGGAACUGCCUCCAAAACUAUCAGUCUGGAGUUCGAGAGAGGUGAGUGGAAUUCCGAGUGUAGAGGUGAAAUUCGUAGAUAUUCGGAGGAACACCAGUGGCGAAGGCGGCUCACUGGCUCGAUACUGACGCUGAGGUGCGAAAGCGUGGGGAGCAAACAGGAUUAGAAACCCCUGUAGUCC
This 444-nucleotide ribosomal RNA is filed under the name uncultured bacterium. RNAcentral's name for it is "bacterial SSU rRNA". It matches the Rfam family "Bacterial small subunit ribosomal RNA", at positions 335 to 796 of the family's 1533-position model. The record is from RNAcentral.